RNAcentral lists this ribosomal RNA (1340 nucleotides) under uncultured bacterium. Its description in RNAcentral is "bacterial SSU rRNA". It matches the Rfam family "Bacterial small subunit ribosomal RNA", at positions 28 to 1381 of the family's 1533-position model. The record is from RNAcentral.
GACGAACGCUGGCGGCGUGCUUAACACAUGCAAGUCGAACGGAAAGGCCCAGCUUGCUGGGUGCUCGAGUGGCGAACGGGUAAGUAACACGUGGGUGAUCUGCCCCUAACUUCGGGAUAAGCUUGGGAAACUGGGUCUAAUACCGGAUAGGACAAUCGUUUAGUGUCGGUUGUGGAAAGUUUUUUCGGUUAGGGAUGAGCCCGCGGCCUAUCAGCUUGUUGGUGGGGUAAUGGCCUACCAAGGCGUCGACGGGUAGCCGGCCUGAGAGGGUGGACGGCCACAUUGGGACUGAGAUACGGCCCAGACUCCUACGGGAGGCAGCAGUGGGGAAUAUUGCACAAUGGGCGCAAGCCUGAUGCAGCGACGCCGCGUGGGGGAUGACGGCCUUCGGGUUGUAAACCUCUUUCGACAGGGACGAAGCUUUGGUGACGGUACCUGUAUAAGAAGCACCGGCUAACUACGUGCCAGCAGCCGCGGUAAUACGUAGGGUGCGAGCGUUGUCCGGAAUUACUGGGCGUAAAGAGCUCGUAGGUGGUUUGUCGCGUCGUCUGUGAAAUUCCGGGGCUUAACUUCGGGCGUGCAGGCGAUACGGGCAUAACUUGAGUGCUGUAGGGGAGACUGGAAUUCCUGGUGUAGCGGUGGAAUGCGCAGAUAUCAGGAGGAACACCGAUGGCGAAGGCAGGUCUCUGGGCAGUAACUGACGCUGAGGAGCGAAAGCAUGGGGAGCGAACAGGAUUAGAUACCCUGGUAGUCCAUGCCGUAAACGGUGGGCGCUAGGUGUAGGGGUCUUCCACGACUUCUGUGCCGUAGCUAGCGCAUUAAGCGCCCCGCCUGGGGAGUACGGCCGCAAGGCUAAAACUCAAAGGAAUUGACGGGGGCCCGCACAAGCGGCGGAGCAUGUGGAUUAAUUCGAUGCAACGCGAAGAACCUUACCUGGGCUUGACAUAUACAGGACUGGGCCAGAGAUGGUCUUUCCCUUUGUGGCUUGUAUACAGGUGGUGCAUGGUUGUCGUCAGCUCGUGUCGUGAGAUGUUGGGUUAAGUCCCGCAACGAGCGCAACCCUUGUCUUAUGUUGCCAGCGGUUUUGGCCGGGGACUCAUGAGAGACUGCCGGGGUUAACUCGGAGGAAGGUGGGGAUGACGUCAAAUCAUCAUGCCCCUUAUGUCCAGGGCUUCACACAUGCUACAAUGGUCGGUACAACGCGCUGCGAGCCUGUGAGGGUGAGCGAAUCGCUGAAAGCCGGCCUCAGUUCGGAUUGGGGUCUGCAACUCGACCCCAUGAAGUCGGAGUCGCUAGUAAUCGCAGAUCAGCAACGCUGCGGUGAAUACGUUCCCGGGCCU